ACGGGAGUAGUUUACUUUAAAACAAUAAACUUCAAAUUUAUUAAUCCUUCUUGGCUCCUGUA
Molecule: transfer RNA, 62 nt
Filed under: Imerinia grandidieri
Lineage: Eukaryota; Metazoa; Mollusca; Gastropoda; Systellommatophora; Veronicellidae
Description: tRNA-Trp
Source: RNAcentral